RNAcentral lists this long non-coding RNA (1944 nucleotides) under Homo sapiens (human). RNAcentral's name for it is "non-protein coding lnc-ETAA1-11:1". The record is from RNAcentral. Lineage: Eukaryota; Metazoa; Chordata; Mammalia; Primates; Hominidae.
CCCUGGAACUCUGGCCCAAGGCUCUCUGACUGACUCCUUCCCAGAUCUUCUCGGCUUAGCGGCUGAAGACCGACGCUGCCGGAUCGUCUCGGAAGCCCCGUAGACCAUCACGGACGCCGAGCUUUAAGUAACUCUCACAGUGGACGGUAAGUCCGUCCCCUUCUUAAUCAAUACGGAGGCUACCCACUCCACAUUACCCCCCCUUUUUCCUUUACCUACCCAAAUCCUAUAAAAUGGCCCCACCCCUAUCUCCCUUCGCUGACUCUCUUUUCAGACUCAGCCCGCCUGCACCCAGGUGAUUAAAAGCUUUAUUGCUCACACAAAGCCUGUUUGGUGGUCUCUUCACAUGGACGUGUGUGAAACCAGCUACUUGGGAAGUGGAGGCAGGAGGAUCGCUUGUGUCUAGGAGGUCAAAGCUGCACUGAGUUAUGACGGCAUCACUGCACUCCAGCCUAGCAUCCUUAAGAGUAAGCACUAUUAUUAUCAUCAUUUUACAAAUGAGGAAACUGAAGCACAGAAAUGUCAAGUGGCUUUCCCAAGGUCAUACCGCAAGUAAGUCACAGAAUCAGUAUUUGGAUCUAGGAAGAGAGCCUUCAGAGUCCUUGUUUUAAUUAUUUGCUCUACCAAGAAGAAAAAGAAGAGAGAAAAAAAGAAAAUAAAGAAUACAGACAGGCAGGUUAAUGAGAGAAAAAGAUAAAUAAUGAAGAACAAAAAGCAAGGAGCAAUAUUCUGAAGAGUUACAGACAUGAUGGAAUAAACAGCAAGUUGUCAAAAGGAGCUGCAAAUGCCCAUGUAUGCCCUUUCAGGAGCGCUAGACUAUCUGCAUGAGACAGAGAGUAAAUCCUGAUGCCAUCACUCAAACUAGACCUACAAGUGCCUCGAGUUCUUACAGAUCCCCAUCUUUCUGGGCAAAACAUCCAUCCUUCAAAUCAUUCCACAGGUUAAAGAACAAAUGUCAGGUUACACUCUUGAAUAGUACAGUCCUAUUUUCUCCCAUAAAUGCCUGCAUAGGACGUCUUCUUCAUAUGGACCCUAAAAUAUUUCUACAAGUAGUAGACAUUUUUUAGAACUGCAAUAAAGUAAUGUAAUAAAUGCAUUGUUUGAAUUUUUUCCUGUUUUAUAUAUGAUACCUGAGAUUAGAAUUGUGUCCCUUUUAUAUAAAAUUGGGCAGUUUUAUUUUGUGCCAUUUCAAAGGUAUUGUUCUAUAUCACUGUAGUUUCAGAUGUUUAUUUUUUAUUAUUUCAAAGUCAAAACAUGAAGAAGUAAGAUGUAUGUUUCUGUAUGCCUUUAAAAAUGCAAACCUGCAACAUUAAUGGGAACUUUCCCCAGGACACUUCAUUUCAGUUCCAACUGGCUGCUAAUUACUUACUCACAGUGGAAGUGUCACACUGCUUUCCUUUCAGCACUUCGUUGGCCAAGUGUCUCUGGCAAUAAUCUCUCAACACAUAAGCACCAUUCCCUUUCAUCACAUUAUUUAAUCAAUAAAGUAAUGUCCUCGCACUGGCCAGGCUCAGAGCCAUCUUGUCACAAGUGCUAAAUAAAUGAAACAAACACCAGUCCUGCUUCUACAACCUCUCCAUUAAUAAACAUGAACGGAGACGCCUUUAAUACAAAAUCCAUUCUCUCAAACGUUUAAAACUGCACACACAUGCACGUUUGCAAGACUAGAAGAGGAAUCAUUUAUAUGAUGGUGAGAAUAGACCAAGCAGCACUGGGCCAAGUCCCACUCACAAGUGGUGAGAUUACGUUAUUUCCAACUGGGACAAGUGCCCCUUCCAUGCUCUCCCAGGGCUGCUUGUUCCCAAGGGGUGAUGUUUCCUCAUCCAUGUUCUGUCUGUAAGAGGCAAGCACAUCAUGGCACUCCCUCUGCUGCUCAGUUUACAAAAGAAUGAUAGGAUGCCCCAUUUUUCCUUCUCUUUUUGCCAGGGGCCCUGCACUAUGGUA